RNAcentral lists this small RNA (61 nucleotides) under Salmonella enterica. RNAcentral's name for it is "partial RtT sRNA". It matches the Rfam family "RtT RNA", at positions 71 to 130 of the family's 130-position model. Rfam says of the family: This family represents a bacterial cis-regulatory element known as RtT RNA. Lineage: Bacteria; Pseudomonadati; Pseudomonadota; Gammaproteobacteria; Enterobacterales; Enterobacteriaceae. RNAcentral also lists the same sequence under 1 other name. The record is from RNAcentral.
CCGUAGGCAACGACCCGAAGGGCGAAGCGCGCAGCGCUGAGUCAUCCUUCCCCCACCACCA